Molecule: long non-coding RNA, 616 nt
Organism: Podarcis raffonei (Aeolian wall lizard)
Lineage: Eukaryota; Metazoa; Chordata; Lepidosauria; Squamata; Lacertidae
Exons: 2
Source: RefSeq, a predicted model, not a curated record
AGUAGGCAGAACUCUAUGCGAUGCUGGCUGCACCCAGAGACCAAGGGCCAUUACUGGCUGCUGCUAUGGAUCCAAGCUUGCUGGAGCUAUGAGGGGAGCAACGAGAGACACUCUUGGGAUGUAAGGUUCUGCACCCCCUCCAUUGAAGGAUUCUUGGUGUAAAUAUGUGUUAAUAAGCCAUAUUUUAAAGACCCUGCAGACUCUACUGUGCUUUGGUUUCCCAAUGGAAACACAUCCCCCAGGGAGCGCCCAGAACCCUCUGAAAACUUGCUACCACUUGGCAAAGAUUGAGAGUGGUGUUUAACAAUGCAUUCGAAUGCAGGGCCAACUGUACCUUAGGGAGAGUGAAGCAGCUGCCUUAGGCGACAGAUGUUGAGAGGUUUUCAUGGAAGAGAGUUAAGAGCAGAAAAGAGAGACUAUUUGUUUCAUUUACAGCUAAGUGUAUUGUACAAGGAAGCCACUUAAGAAACAAGAAGUAAACCACUGUUUGAUUGAAGAGGGCGUCUUACAAUCAAGAUGGAUUACCCAGUCCACCAACACCCGUGCUUUCAGAGCUUUGACCUACAGCUGCGAAAUGUAUCUAGGCCAUGAUAUUAAGCUUUUUGCUUAUGAAGUA